GCUACCCCUCCUUUUGGUUCUCUUUCAAGUCCUUCAGGUUCAAACAAUACAGAAGUGUAUAAAGUAAGAAUUGGAAGUCUCUUCGCUGCUCUAAUCUCACUCCUCAGAGGUGAUCACUGAUUAUCAUCCCAGAGCCCUCCCUGAAGCCCACACACAGCUUCUUCAGGAAAUGCUGACAGCAUGGUAUACACAUGGCUUCCAUGUUUGUCAUGGUUCCAAAGUUUGCUUUUGAAAGAG
This 237-nucleotide long non-coding RNA is filed under the name Homo sapiens (human). RNAcentral's name for it is "HSALNT0295398". Lineage: Eukaryota; Metazoa; Chordata; Mammalia; Primates; Hominidae. The record is from RNAcentral.